UGGGAUAAAUUACCAGGAACUAGGAGC
Molecule: non-coding RNA, 27 nt
Filed under: Homo sapiens (human)
Lineage: Eukaryota; Metazoa; Chordata; Mammalia; Primates; Hominidae
Source: RNAcentral